UACGUAGGGGGCAAGCGUUGUCCGGACUUAUUGGGCGUAAAGAGCGUGUAGGCGGCUAGAUAGGUCCGUUGUGAAAACUCGAGGCUCAACCUCGAGACGUCGAUGGAAACCAUCUGGCUAGAGUCCGGAAGAGGAGAGUGGAAUUCCUGGUGUAGCGGUGAAAUGCGCAGAUAUCAGGAAGAACACCCGUGGCGAAAGCGGCUCUCUGGAACGGUACUGACGCUGAGACGCGAAAGCGUGGGGAGCGAACAGG
This 253-nucleotide ribosomal RNA is filed under the name uncultured bacterium. RNAcentral describes it as "partial 16S ribosomal RNA". It matches the Rfam family "Bacterial small subunit ribosomal RNA", at positions 524 to 776 of the family's 1533-position model. The record is from RNAcentral.